GAAUAUUGGACAAUGGGCGAAAGCCUGAUCCAGCCAUGCCGCGUGUGUGAAGAAGGUCUUCGGAUUGUAAAGCACUUUAAGUAGGGGGGAAGGGCAGCAAGCGAAUAACUUGCUGUUUUGACUUUACCGACAGAAUAAGCACCGGCGAAAUCUGUGCCAGGAGCCGCGGUAAUACAGAGGGUGCAAGCAUUAAUCGGAAUUACUGGGCGAAAAGCGCGCGUAGGUGGUUCGUUAAGUUGGAUGUGAAAUCCCCGGGCUCAACCUGGGAACUGCAUCCAAAACUAGCGAGCUAGAGUAGGGCAGAGGGUGGUGGAAUUUCCUGUGUAGCGGUGAAAUGCGUAGAUAUAGGAAGGAACACCAGUGGCGAAGGCGACCACCUGGGCUCAUACUGACACUGAGGUGCGAAAGCGUGGGGAGCAAAC
RNAcentral lists this ribosomal RNA (422 nucleotides) under uncultured bacterium. RNAcentral describes it as "partial 16S ribosomal RNA". It matches the Rfam family "Bacterial small subunit ribosomal RNA", at positions 359 to 773 of the family's 1533-position model. The record is from RNAcentral.